UCUCCCUCCCCAAGGCCUGUCCUGAUCCAGGAACCUCCAAGCCUUUUGCCUGGUCUCCAGGCUCCUAGACUCUCCUGCCUUGAAUCCACCCUCCAAAAGGAGCCCCAGUGAGGACUGAGCCCUGGAACUGCCUUCAUUAUUUAGGACUGGGAGCCCCAGCAGGACAGGACUGGAACCAUCGUGGUCACUGUUGUGUCUCCUGCACCACCCAACACCAGGCCAGGCAUAGAGGAGAUUUUGUUCAAUGCAACUGUUUGUUCAAUGUCAUUCAUUCAAUAAAUAUUUACAGAGCACCAA
Molecule: long non-coding RNA, 297 nt
Organism: Homo sapiens (human)
Lineage: Eukaryota; Metazoa; Chordata; Mammalia; Primates; Hominidae
Exons: 2
Source: RefSeq, a predicted model, not a curated record